Molecule: transfer RNA, 72 nt
Filed under: Loxodonta africana (African savanna elephant)
Lineage: Eukaryota; Metazoa; Chordata; Mammalia; Proboscidea; Elephantidae
Rfam family: tRNA
About the family: Transfer RNA (tRNA) molecules are approximately 80 nucleotides in length. Their secondary structure includes four short double-helical elements and three loops (D, anti-codon, and T loops). Further hydrogen bonds mediate the characteristic L-shaped molecular structure. tRNAs have two regions of fundamental functional importance: the anti-codon, which is responsible for specific mRNA codon recognition, and the 3' end, to which the tRNAs corresponding amino acid is attached (by aminoacyl-tRNA synthetases). tRNAs cope with the degeneracy of the genetic code in two manners: having more than one tRNA (with a specific anti-codon) for a particular amino acid; and 'wobble' base-pairing, i.e. permitting non-standard base-pairing at the 3rd anti-codon position.
Source: Rfam by way of RNAcentral
GUACUGGUGGUGCAGUGGUAGAAUUCUCGCCUUCCAUGUGGGAGACCUGAGGUUCAAUUCCCAGCCAGUGCA